GCCACCUGGCCACCUGGCCAGGGCCGACAUUAGCUCGCGGGACUCCAGAACAGGGGCGGAGCCAGAAGGCCGGGGCGGGGCCUAGAGUAUUGUUCUGGACCCGGGCUGGAGUGGGGAGUAUGCGUAGAGAGGGAACUUUAGGAGGUCGAUUAGAGGCGGCCUCAGGUGACGCAGGGACCUAACACGAGGCUGCUUCGGUUUGCUGUCCACCCAACUGGCCAGUUCGUCCAGAUUCCAGCACCAAAACCUGCACAUUCGCCUUUGAACCACUUCUGAGACUGGCUCCAUACCUGUACGAAGCGGGAACCACACGUCUCACACUUAUAGGGUUUCUCUCCCGAAUGGAUGCGGCUAUGCGUUUUCAGCACUCUGAAUGACCGCUAACCUGAGAGGCCCUGUCGAGCUCUAGGCUGACCACUCAGCCCUGGACUGGGGUGAGCCAGAAGUUUCCAAACACUGCUGCUCGUUGGAAGCUUUAAAAAAUACUGAUGCCUUCCCAAUGUGCCAAAGUUGCGGGUUUGAUUCCCAGUUGGGGCACAUACAAGAACCAACCAAUAAAUACAUAAAUAAGUACAACAAA
Long non-coding RNA from Artibeus jamaicensis (Jamaican fruit-eating bat), 580 nucleotides. RefSeq lists it as uncharacterized. The record is from RefSeq and is a predicted model, not a curated record. NCBI's taxonomy places the organism in Eukaryota, Metazoa, Chordata, Mammalia, Chiroptera, Phyllostomidae. The transcript is spliced from 3 exons.